RNAcentral lists this ribosomal RNA (381 nucleotides) under uncultured bacterium. RNAcentral's name for it is "bacterial SSU rRNA". It matches the Rfam family "Bacterial small subunit ribosomal RNA", at positions 362 to 758 of the family's 1533-position model. The record is from RNAcentral.
UCUUCCGCAAUGGGCGAAAGCCUGACGGAGCAACACUGCAUGGAGGAUGAAGGGCUCCGCUCCCGCAAACUCCUUUUUUGAGGGAAGAAUUCUGACGGUACCUUAGGAAUAAGCACCGGCUAACUCUGUGCCAGCAGCCGCGGUAAGACAGAGGGUGCAAGCGUUAUCCGGAAUCAUUGGGCGUAAAGCGUGUGUAGGCGGGACUUUGCGUCGCGGAUUAAAUUUCCCAGCUCAACUGGGAAUCUGUUCGCGAUACGGAAGUCCUUGGAAGUAUGCAGAGGCAAGUGGAAUUCUGUGUAUAGGGGUAAAAUCCGUAGAUACACGGAGGAACACCGAAAGCGAAAGCAGCUUGCUGGGCAUAACUUGACGCGAGACACGAAA